Molecule: small nucleolar RNA, 107 nt
Organism: Gossypium raimondii (Peruvian cotton)
Lineage: Eukaryota; Viridiplantae; Streptophyta; Magnoliopsida; Malvales; Malvaceae
Rfam family: Plant small nucleolar RNA R71
About the family: R71 is a member of the C/D box family of snoRNAs containing the C (UGAUGA) and D (CUGA) box motifs.
Source: Rfam
AACUCAUGGUAAGGGCACCUUCUCAAUAAAUCCUUAUACCUCUCCUAUGCAUCAUCUAGGGUUUCUAAGUCGAUCUAAAUGAAGGAAGAGAUAUCAUUCCUUAACUU